AACUUUCAACAACGGAUCUCUUGGUUCUCGCAUCGAUGAAGAACGCAGCGAAAUGCGAUAAGUAAUGUGAAUUGCAGAAUUCAGUGAAUCAUCGAAUCUUUGAACGCACAUUGCGCCCCUUGGUAUUCCGAGGGGCAUGCCUGUUCGAGCGUCAUUACACCACUCAAGCACUGCUUGGUAUUGGGCACCCGUCCGCCGAAAGGCGGG
Molecule: ribosomal RNA, 207 nt
Filed under: Rhizosphaera kalkhoffii
Lineage: Eukaryota; Fungi; Ascomycota; Dothideomycetes; Dothideales; Dothideaceae
Description: 5.8S ribosomal RNA
Rfam family: 5.8S ribosomal RNA (bases 1-154)
About the family: 5.8S ribosomal RNA (5.8S rRNA) is a component of the large subunit of the eukaryotic ribosome. It is transcribed by RNA polymerase I as part of the 45S precursor that also contains 18S and 28S rRNA.
Source: RNAcentral